This 109-nucleotide ribosomal RNA is filed under the name uncultured bacterium. Its description in RNAcentral is "partial 16S ribosomal RNA". It matches the Rfam family "Bacterial small subunit ribosomal RNA", at positions 1373 to 1482 of the family's 1533-position model. The record is from RNAcentral.
CCCGGGCCUUGUACACACCGCCCGUCACACCAUGGGAGUUGGUUUUACCCGAAGGUAGUGCGCUAACCGCAAGGAGGCAGCUAACCACGGUAGGGUCAGCGACUGGGUG